Molecule: long non-coding RNA, 1167 nt
Filed under: Mus spicilegus (steppe mouse)
Lineage: Eukaryota; Metazoa; Chordata; Mammalia; Rodentia; Muridae
Description: lncRNA (ENSMSIG00000022388.1)
Source: RNAcentral
ACACUAACACUAUGUUAAAUCUGAAGGAAAUACAACUUUUAGAAAAAGCACAAAGGUUUUCAAGCUGGAGAACAGCUAACAACUGUGCUACCCGCAAAGGCACUCCAGCCAGCAAUAGAAAGAACUGUUACUCUGCAGCCGUGUGAGUGACUUUCAAACACUAUAUACCAAGUGAUAAAAGACAGAUUUUGGAGGUAAGAGUGUAUCUCAGAGGGCAGUUUGGCAUACGCAAGGGCAUGGGUUCAAUGCCCAGUCUUCGAAAGAAGGUGAAGUUUAUAUUCAUAACCCAUUCUUGCAUAAUAAAAUGAUUUCUAAAGCCAGCAGGGGCAGGGAAGCAAACUCCGACCAAGCAUCUGAGCAUCCAUCCGGAAGGAGAGCAAUGGAAACUGCAGGAUGCUGUCUUACUUUCAGAGAAGAAAGUUCCGUGAUUCCUCACAAAUGAGACUCGUCCUUGGAGCUUUCUGAAGCUGCGGUGACAGAGCCAAGGGAUUCACAGUACUCAUUACUCACAUUACCGGAAGCUAAACGUGCUCUCUUAUUGAGUCAGCUGGGAAAAGAGGAACACCCUGUGACACACAGGCUACCGCUGGGACUAGAACGCCAGCACAGCAGAGUCCACAGCCACAGAGCCUGGGGCUGCUCCCUCAGGGACAAGUUUUGUUUCCAGGAGAAGGAGGAAGUGUUGCGGAGUGGCACACAGGUGGGCGUGACCGCGAACGUGAUCACUGGAGCAGUACAACCAGCCGGGACCCUUUGCAGUAAGACCGUCACGCCCUUCCACAGCCGUUGACCCAGGCAGCCCAGCAUUUGCUUCAUAUUUGGACAUGUUUCCAGGCGACUCUUGGCACUGAGCAAGCCUGGAAAACAGCUCUAGCCUUCCCACUGGGAGAGGCCAGUGAUGGCUGUGGAGGUCCGGUACCCAGGAACAUGGUCGGUAGUUAUAUAUGACCCGGGAUCUACUGAAUUGCUAGUCCCAAAGAUUCUAUUAUGGGGUUGAGACAUGGUUCAGUAGUUUGGAGCACUGACGGCCCUUACUGAGGAUACAGGCUCGAUUCUCAGCACCCACAUGGCAGCUUGCAACCAUCUGUAUCUCCAGUUCCAGGGGAUUUAAUGUCCUUUUUUUUUUUUUGAAAAACACUUAUACACAUAAAAAAUAAAAAUAAAAAC